GUUGGGUAGGGGAGCGUUCUGUAAGCCUGCGAAGGUGUGCUGUGAGGUAUGCUGGAGGUAUCAGAAGUGCGAAUGCUGACAUAAGUAACGAUAAUGCGGGUGAAAAACCCGCACGCCGGAAGACCAAGGGUUCCUGUCCAACGUUAAUCGGGGCAGGGUGAGUCGACCCCUAAGGCGAGGCUGAAAAGCGUAGUCGAUGGGAAACGGGUUAAUAUUCCCGUACUGGUGGUAACUGCGAUGGGGGAACGGAGAAGGCUAGGUUGUCCGGGCGACGGUCGUCCCGGUUCAAGCAGGUAGGCAGAGUGAUUAGGCAAAUCCGGUCACUUAAUGCUGAGAUGUGAUGACGAACCACCAAGGUGGUGAAGCAAUUGAUGCCCCGCUUCCAGGAAAAGCCUCUAAGCUUCAGGUUACCAACAAUCGUACCCCAAACCGACACAGGUGGUCAGGUAGAGAAUACUCAGGCGCUUGAGAGAACUCGGGUGAAGGAACUAGGCAAAAUGGUGCCGUAACUUCGGGAGAAGGCACGCUGGCGGUAGGUAAAGUCCCUUGCGGACGGCGCUGAAGCCAGUCGAAGAUACCAGCUGGCUGCAACUGUUUAUUAAAAACACAGCACUGUGCAAACACGAAAGUGGACGUAUACGGUGUGACGCCUGCCCGGUGCUGGAAGGUUAAUUGAUGGGGUUAGCGCAAGCGAAGCUCCUGAUCGAAGCCCCAGUAAACGGCGGCCGUAACUAUAACGGUCCUAAGGUAGCGAAAUUCCUUGUCGGGUAAGUUCCGACCUGCACGAAUGGCGUAAUGAUGGCCAGGCUGUCUCCACCCGAGACUCAGUGAAAUUGAACUCGCUGUGAAGAUGCAGUGUACCCGCGGCAAGACGGAAAGACCCCGUGAACCUUUACUAUAGCUUGACACUGAACAUUGAGCCUUGAUGUGUAGGAUAGGUGGGAGGCUUUGAAGUGUGGACGCCAGUCUGCAUGGAGCCAACCUUGAAAUACCACCCUUUAACGUUUGAUGUUCUAACCUAGGCCCAUAAACUGGGUCGGGGACCGUGUCUGGUGGGUAGUUUGACUGGGGCGGUCUCCUCCUAAAGAGUAACGGAGGAGCACGAAGGUUGGCUAAGCAUGGUCGGACAUCAUGCGGUUAGUGCAAAGGCAUAAGCCAGCUUGACUGCGAGAGUGACGGCUCGAGCAGGUACGAAAGUAGGUCUUAGUGAUCCGGUGGUUCUGAAUGGAAGGGCCAUCGCUCAACGGAUAAAAGGUACUCCGGGGAUAACAGGCUGAUACCGCCCAAGAGUUCAUAUCGACGGCGGUGUUUGGCACCUCGAUGUCGGCUCAUCACAUCCUGGGGCUGAAGUAGGUCCCAAGGGUAUGGCUGUUCGCCAUUUAAAGUGGUACGCGAGCUGGGUUUAGAACGUCGUGAGACAGUUCGGUCCCUAUCUGCCGUGGGCGUUGGAAGAUUGAGAGGGGUUGCUCCUAGUACGAGAGGACCGGAGUGAACGCACCACUGGUGUUCGGGUUGUCAUGCCAAUGGCAUUGCCCGGUAGCUAAGUGCGGAAGAGAUAACCGCUGAAAGCAUCUAAGCGGGAAACUUGCCUCGAGAUGAGUCUUCCCUGUCGCUUUAAGCGACCUAAAGGAACGUUUAAGACUAAGACGUUGAUAGGCUGGGUGUGUAAGCGUAGCGAUACGUUGAGCUAACCAGUACUAAUGAACCGUGAGGCUUAACCUG
This 1722-nucleotide ribosomal RNA is filed under the name Proteus mirabilis. RNAcentral describes it as "bacterial LSU rRNA". It matches the Rfam family "Bacterial large subunit ribosomal RNA", at positions 1223 to 2925 of the family's 2925-position model. The record is from RNAcentral. Lineage: Bacteria; Pseudomonadati; Pseudomonadota; Gammaproteobacteria; Enterobacterales; Morganellaceae.